GACGAACGCUGACGGCGUGCCUAAUACAUGCAAGUAGAACGCACAGUAUAUACCGUAGCUUGCUACACCAUAGACUGUGAGUUGCGAACGGGUGAGUAACGCGUAGGUAACCUGCCUGGUAGCGGGGGAUAACUAUUGGAAACGAUAGCUAAUACCGCAUAAUAUUAAUUAUUGCAUGAUAAUUGAUUGAAAGAUGCAACUGCAUCACUACCAGAUGGACCUGCGUUGUAUUAGCUAGUAGGUGAGGUAACGGCUCACCUAGGCGACGAUACAUAGCCGACCUGAGAGGGUGAUCGGCCACACUGGGACUGAGACACGGCCCAGACUCCUACGGGAGGCAGCAGUAGGGAAUCUUCGGCAAUGGACGAAAGUCUGACCGAGCAACGCCGCGUGAGUGAAGAAGGUUUUCGGAUCGUAAAGCUCUGUUGUAAGAGAAGAACGGGUGUGAGAGUGGAAAGUUCACACUGUGACGGUAUCUUACCAGAAAGGGACGGCUAACUACGUGCCAGCAGCCGCGGUAAUACGUAGGUCCCGAGCGUUGUCCGGAUUUAUUGGGCGUAAAGCGAGCGCAGGCGGUUAGAUAAGUCUGAAGUUAAAGGCUGUGGCUUAACCAUAGUACGCUUUGGAAACUGUUUAACUUGAGUGCAGAAGGGGAGAGUGGAAUUCCAUGUGUAGCGGUGAAAUGCGUAGAUAUAUGGAGGAACACCGGUGGCGAAAGCGGCUCUCUGGUCUGUAACUGACGCUGAGGCUCGAAAGCGUGGGGAGCGAACAGG
This 773-nucleotide ribosomal RNA is filed under the name uncultured Streptococcus sp. Its description in RNAcentral is "bacterial SSU rRNA". It matches the Rfam family "Bacterial small subunit ribosomal RNA", at positions 28 to 776 of the family's 1533-position model. The record is from RNAcentral. Lineage: Bacteria; Bacillati; Bacillota; Bacilli; Lactobacillales; Streptococcaceae.